CUUCGGUGCUGUAUGUGGUUAGAGCAUCCGCCUCGAAUGCGGGAGGUUGCGGGUUUGAACCCAGCCGAGUAUUACCAAAGA
Potamilus streckersoni is the source of this 81-nucleotide non-coding RNA. Lineage: Eukaryota; Metazoa; Mollusca; Bivalvia; Unionida; Unionidae. The record is from the annotation of a GenBank genome assembly.